Molecule: ribosomal RNA, 508 nt
Filed under: uncultured bacterium
Lineage: Bacteria
Description: bacterial SSU rRNA
Rfam family: Bacterial small subunit ribosomal RNA
Source: RNAcentral
AGCGAACGUUAGCGGCGGGCCUAACACAUGCAAGUCGAACGCGAAAGAUCUUCGGACUGAGUAGAGUGGCGCACGGGUGAGUAACACGUAGGUAAUCUACCCUUUGGCGGGGGAUAACGUUCCGAAAGGAGCGCUAAUACCGCAUAGGACCACGGAGUCUCCGGACGCUGUGGGAAAAGGUGGCCUCUUCUUGAAAGCUACCACCGAAGGAUGAGCCUGCGUCCCAUCAGCUAGUUGGUAAGGUAAUGGCUUACCAAGGCGAAGACGGGUAGCUGGUUUGAGAGAAUGAUCAGCCACACUGGCACUGGAACACGGGCCAGACUCCUACGGGAGGCAGCAGUGAGGAAUAUUGGGCAAUGGGCGAAAGCCUGACCCAGCCACGCCGCGUGAGUGAUGAAGGCCCUCGGGUCGUAAAGCUCUGUGGAGAGGGACGAAAACCCUGGUUUCAAAUAGGCUCCAGGCUUGACGGUACCUCUUUAGCAAGCACCGGCUAACUCUGUGCCAGCAG